UACAGAGGAUGCAAGCGUUAUCCGGAAUGAUUGGGCGUAAAGCGUCUGUAGGUGGCUUUUUAAGUCCGCCGUCAAAUCCCAGGGCUCAACUCUGGACAGGCGGUGGAAACUACCAAGCUGGAGUACGGUAGGGGCAGAGGGAAUUUCCGGUGGAGCGGUGAAAUGCGUAGAGCUCGGGAAGAACAUCGGUGGCGAAAGCGCUCUGCUGGACUGCAACUGACACUCAGGGACGAAAGCUAGGGGAGCGAAUGGG
RNAcentral lists this ribosomal RNA (253 nucleotides) under uncultured bacterium. Its description in RNAcentral is "partial 16S ribosomal RNA". It matches the Rfam family "Bacterial small subunit ribosomal RNA", at positions 524 to 776 of the family's 1533-position model. The record is from RNAcentral.